This 243-nucleotide long non-coding RNA is filed under the name Pogona vitticeps (central bearded dragon). RNAcentral describes it as "lncRNA (ENSPVIG00000007002.1)". The record is from RNAcentral. Lineage: Eukaryota; Metazoa; Chordata; Lepidosauria; Squamata; Agamidae.
UCAGCAUACAAAAGAAGAAGAAGCCAAUUUCAAGAAGUAAACAACCAAAUGCCAUUGGGGGAAUAGCAUCAAUCAUGGCAAGAUAAUGCAAUCAAGGUACCCAGGCUGGUAUCUCCAGUUCAAAUUCCACGCAGAUCCAGCUUGAAAUAUUUUGCUACACCAAGCAAUCACAUCUUGUGAUCCAAGAAAGCUCUACUCUCAUGUGAAGAUCAGGAUGUGUUUCGUUCCAUGUUGGAAUUGCUU